This 78-nucleotide transfer RNA is filed under the name Candidatus Saccharimonadota bacterium. RNAcentral describes it as "tRNA-His". It matches the Rfam family "tRNA". From Rfam's summary of the family: Transfer RNA (tRNA) molecules are approximately 80 nucleotides in length. Their secondary structure includes four short double-helical elements and three loops (D, anti-codon, and T loops). The record is from RNAcentral. Lineage: Bacteria; Candidatus Saccharimonadota.
GUGCCUGUAGCAUAGCUGGCCUAAUGCGUCGGGUUGUGGUUCCGAAGAUCGCGAGUUCGAAUCUCGUCAGGCACCCCA